RNAcentral lists this long non-coding RNA (1056 nucleotides) under Chloebia gouldiae (Gouldian finch). RNAcentral's name for it is "Erythrura gouldiae (Gouldian finch) lncRNA (ENSEGOG00005017507.1)". Lineage: Eukaryota; Metazoa; Chordata; Aves; Passeriformes; Passeridae. The record is from RNAcentral.
AUGGGAAAAGCUGGGAAAAAAAAAGGGAAAAGAGUGGGAAAAACGCUGCCUCUGCCUGCUGGGUCCUGGGAAAAACGGGAAUUGCAUCCCCAAAAAAAAACGGGAAUUUGGAUCCCGAAAAACGGGAACUCGGAUCCCGAAAAAUGGGAGCUCAGAAUCCCAAAAAACGGGAAUUUGGAUCCCGAAAAAUGGACUUUGGAUGCUGGGAAGACGGACCUGGAGUCCUGGGAAAAGGAGGGACUUUGGAUCCCGAAAAAUGGGAUUUGGAUCCCAAAAAAUGGGAAUUUGGAUCCCAAAAAUUGGGACUUUGCAUCCUGGGAAGACGGACCUCAGGUCCAGGGAAAAAUGGGAUUUUGGAUCCCAAAAAAUGGGAUUUGGAUCCCAGGAAAAAGGACUGGUGAGUCCAAGGAAAAGGGACCUGGAGUCCUGGGAGAAAAUGGGAUUUUGGAUCCCAAAAAAAGGGAUUUUGGAUCCCAAAAAAUGGGAUUUGGAUCCCAGGAAAAAGGACUUUGGAUCCUGGGGAAAUCCUGGGAAAAGGGACGCGGAUCACAGGAAGAAAAGGACGUUGAGUCCAGGGAAAAAUGGGAUUUUGGAUCCCAAAAAAAUGGGAUUUGGAUCCCAAAAAAUGGGAAUUUGGAUCCCACGAAGAUGGACCUCGGGUCCAGGGAAAAACGGGAUUUUGGAUCCCAAAAAAUGGGAUUUGGAUCCCGGGGAAAAGUGACCCUAAAUCCUGGGAAAAAUGGGAUUUGGAUCCCAAGAAAAAUGGGAUUUUGGAGCCCAAGAAGAAGGAUUUUGGAUCCUGGGAAGAUGGACCUGGAGUCCUGGGAAAAUGGGAUUUGGAUCCCAAAAAAUGGGAUUUGGAUCCCACGAAGAUGGACCUCAGGUCCAGGGAAAAAUGGGAUUUGGAUCCCAAAAAAAGGACUUUGGAUCCUGGGGAAAAAUGGGAUUUACAUCCCAAAAAAUGGGAUUUACAUCCCAAAAAAUGGGACUUUGGAAUCCAAGGAAAAAGGAUUUUGGAUCCUGGGAAGACGGACCUGGAGUCCUGGGAAAAUGGGA